GUUUUGGAAGCCCUCCUAAGCAGUUGGAGGAACUGGUUAUUUUCCCAGGGCUUUGACUGAAAUGGCCUUGUGAAUGGUUCCAGGAAAGCCAAUUUUGGAGACCCUAUGUGGAUGAUGAUGCUUGCUGUACUUUCUGUGGGUAAUCGGGCCAAGUAUAUGGGACUGAAGCUAAUUUUGCAGGUGAGAAAAUGGAGGUCCAGAGAGAAAAGUGACUCACCCAAGCUGAAAACAGUUGCAGGAAGAAAAGCCAGGACAGAACUGGGCUGUUAGAAACCUUGGAGUACACUAAAGAUGAGGAACUGAGUCACCGCAAUGCCAAAUGUAACACGCUGUGGGUCAAAAUUUGGAUGGUUGCGUUGGAAAUUAUUCUGAAGCCACAGACAGGGCUAAAAGGUAAGUAUGAAUAAUUAGUAAUGCUUGCCAUAGACAGAUUAAAGUGUUGACAUCACAUAGGACAAGAAUUUGCCACCAAUAGAUGAGAGGAUUGUUGAUGUCCUUGAAUUGGAAAUGAACGAGCUAAUUGGUUAGUUACUUAUUCACUCUAACCCAGAAAGCAGCAGCUUGUGAAAAAAGUUUUUGCUGGUAACACACAGGAAAUAGAAAAUUUAGUAUUUUUUCCAGUGGAAAAGCCCUCUUGUAUCACCAAGCAGAAGAGAACAUGAUGUCUUUUCUUUUGAUGUAAUUUAGGAUGAUUCACAAAGUGUUCAUAGCAGGGAAGCUGAUGGAAAAGUGACAUGCCCCUAGACUUGAGAGAUGCUCUCUAAGUUUAAAAAGGAAACAGCUUAUUGUAAAAUUUAUUUGAAUCCUACAACCUUCCCAUAUCUGUGUAAUUAGCAAAAAGACAAGCUGCAACCAGAGAGGUAAAGUAUCAAUUUAUCUCAUACUUAUUUAUUGAGAACAUCCUCUGAGCUGUGUACUAUGUUAGGCAGAGAAAACAAACAAUAAGCAAGACACAGUCCCUGACUCCAUAUGAUUAUCAGGGAGGCUAGGAAAAGUCAUCUCUGCUUGGACAACUCCUUUCCAGAAAUACCUCUCUUCUCUUAAAGGGACAUGCACAUGUACAUAUUAUAAUAAAUGAAUCGAGGAAAUAUAUAAUAUUUAUAUAUAAUAUAUAAAUAUA
This 1120-nucleotide long non-coding RNA is filed under the name Homo sapiens (human). RNAcentral describes it as "HSALNT0143535". Lineage: Eukaryota; Metazoa; Chordata; Mammalia; Primates; Hominidae. The record is from RNAcentral.